RNAcentral lists this microRNA precursor (83 nucleotides) under Cebus imitator (Panamanian white-faced capuchin). Its description in RNAcentral is "miRNA (ENSCCAG00000011801.1)". The record is from RNAcentral. Lineage: Eukaryota; Metazoa; Chordata; Mammalia; Primates; Cebidae.
UAUUAGGUUGGUGCAAAAGUAAUUGCAGUUCUUGUAAUUAUUUUAAAUGGUGAAACUGCAGUUACUUCUGCAUCAACCUAAUA